AAAUAGAAAGGCUGUUUAAGUCACAUGCAGGGAGGUGCGGCUAGGCUUUGUAAACAGAGAACUUAGCAGUGAGACUUCAGGGACAAGAUCUAUACAUCAAAACUGCUUCAUUAAAUUAAAGUUGUUUUGGUAACUAUAGUGUCCCUUUAAAUAAAUAAGAGAAACAAACAAUAAAGAUAACAGCUAGAAGCGGCAAGAGGAACAAUCAUCACCCACUUAGGGUUUGAAGCAAAACCUUUACAUAUAAUAGUGAAAGUGAAUAAAUGUGGGUCAUAUUCCAAUCAUAGCUCCCAAGCUGUAUGGAAAUAGAGGAUAGAAUUUUGGACCAAGGCAGUAAAUCUAUCCAUAACAUAGAUUUCUUUGACUAUAACCUCAAUCUCCGUCCUUAAAGAAAUCCUAUCUCCCAGCCAUUUAGCUGUUAAUCUUCAAGCUGCCUAUGUUAUCUUAUUAUAUAACCUUUGCGCAUGUGAUGUUAGUCCAUCCACUGGACG
Pelobates cultripes (western spadefoot toad) is the source of this 491-nucleotide non-coding RNA. The record is from the annotation of a GenBank genome assembly. NCBI's taxonomy places the organism in Eukaryota, Metazoa, Chordata, Amphibia, Anura, Pelobatidae.